AGUAAAGUGUCUGAAAAAGAGUAAUUUUGAUAGAAUUAAGAAUACAGAUUAACCCUGUCUUUACUA
This 66-nucleotide transfer RNA is filed under the name Cerambycidae sp. 1 KM-2017. Its description in RNAcentral is "tRNA-Ile". The record is from RNAcentral. Lineage: Eukaryota; Metazoa; Arthropoda; Insecta; Coleoptera; Cerambycidae.